ACCAAGAAUCAGACAUAUGCUCA
RNAcentral lists this microRNA (23 nucleotides) under Tetranychus urticae (two-spotted spider mite). RNAcentral describes it as "tur-miR-190-3p". Its record names the gene tur-miR-190-3p. Lineage: Eukaryota; Metazoa; Arthropoda; Arachnida; Trombidiformes; Tetranychidae. The record is from miRBase by way of RNAcentral.